CCUACGGGUGGCAGCAGUGGGGAAUAUUGCGCAAUGGGCGCAAGCCUGACGCAGCGACGCCGCGUGAGGGAUGAAGGUCUUCCGAUCGUUAAACUCUGUCAGCCGGGAAGAACGGUCACUGUGCUAAUCAGCCGUGAAUUGACGGCACCUGCAAAGGAAGCACCGGCUACCUCCGGGCCAGCAGCCGCCGUCAGACGGUGGGUGCGAGCGUUAAUCGGAAUUACUGGGCGUAAAGCGCUCGUAGGCGGUAUGUCUAGUCAAGGGGGAAAUCGCCGCACGCAACGUGGGAACUGCCUUUGAAACUGGCGAUCUUGAGUGGGAGAGAGGAUAGUGGAAUUCGAGGUGUAGCAGUGAAAU
RNAcentral lists this ribosomal RNA (357 nucleotides) under uncultured bacterium. RNAcentral's name for it is "partial 16S ribosomal RNA". It matches the Rfam family "Bacterial small subunit ribosomal RNA", at positions 338 to 687 of the family's 1533-position model. The record is from RNAcentral.